GCAGAGCCCAGCCAGCUCCUUGAGGACUUCUUAAUAGGCUGCUGGUCUCACCCUGUGCAGGUUCAGUCCCAGUCAGGCCACAGCAUGGACAUGAGGGUCCACACUCAAUUUCUGGGGCUCUUGCUGCUCUGGGUCCCAGGUGCCAGAUGUGACAUCCAGUUAAUACAGCCUCCAUCCAGAGCUGCAUCUGUGGGAGACACAGUCACCAUCAGUUGCAGGGCCAGUCAGGAUAUUAGCAAUAACUUACACUGGUAUCAGCAGAAACCAAGGCAGGCUCCUAAACCCCUGAUCUAUGCUGCAACCAAUUUGCAAUCUGGAGUCCCAACAAGAGUCAGUGGCAGUGGAUCUGGGACAGAUUUCACUCUCACCAUCAGCAGCCUGCAGCCUGAAGACUUUGCAACUUACUACUGUCAACAGGAUUACAGUGCCCCUCCCACAGUGAUACAAGCCAUGACAUAAACCUCCCAGUGAAGG
Molecule: non-coding RNA, 474 nt
Organism: Cavia porcellus (domestic guinea pig)
Lineage: Eukaryota; Metazoa; Chordata; Mammalia; Rodentia; Caviidae
Source: the annotation of a RefSeq genome assembly